Molecule: small nucleolar RNA, 138 nt
Organism: Ornithorhynchus anatinus (platypus)
Lineage: Eukaryota; Metazoa; Chordata; Mammalia; Monotremata; Ornithorhynchidae
Source: RefSeq, a predicted model, not a curated record
ACCCUCUCAGGGUUGGACCUGGAGAGUUUCCAGUACUCUAUCAGUUUCAAUUACAGGAGGGAGAGUCAAGCAGAGACAUAUCCAUUCCAUUAGUAGCUUGGGCAGUAGCUAGUAAGUGGAAGGCAAUCUACUACAAGU